Molecule: ribosomal RNA, 425 nt
Filed under: uncultured bacterium
Lineage: Bacteria
Description: partial 16S ribosomal RNA
Rfam family: Bacterial small subunit ribosomal RNA
Source: RNAcentral
GUGGGGAAUCUUGCGCAAUGGGCGAAAGCCUGACGCAGCCAUGCCGCGUGAAUGAUGAAGGUCUUAGGAUUGUAAAAUUCUUUCACCGGGGACGAUAAUGACGGUACCCGGAGAAGAAGCCCCGGCUAACUUCGUGCCAGCAGCCGCGGUAAUACGAAGGGGGCUAGCGUUGCUCGGAAUUACUGGGCGUAAAGGGCGCGUAGGCGGACAGUUUAGUCAGAGGUGAAAGCCCAGGGCUCAACCUUGGAAUUGCCUUUGAUACUGGCUGUCUUGAGUACGGGAGAGGUGAGUGGAACUCCGAGUGUAGAGGUGAAAUUCGUAGAUAUUCGGAAGAACACCAGUGGCGAAGGCGACUCACUGGCCCGUUUCUGACGCUGAGGCGCGAAAGCGUGGGGAGCAAACAGGAUUAGAAACCCGUGUAGUCC